GCGGCUAUAGCUCAGUUGGUUAGAGCGCGUGACUGUGGAUCACGAGGCCGAGGGUUCGAGCCCCUCUAGCCGCC
This 74-nucleotide transfer RNA is filed under the name Acidobacteriota bacterium. RNAcentral's name for it is "tRNA-His". It matches the Rfam family "tRNA". From Rfam's summary of the family: Transfer RNA (tRNA) molecules are approximately 80 nucleotides in length. Their secondary structure includes four short double-helical elements and three loops (D, anti-codon, and T loops). Further hydrogen bonds mediate the characteristic L-shaped molecular structure. tRNAs have two regions of fundamental functional importance: the anti-codon, which is responsible for specific mRNA codon recognition, and the 3' end, to which the tRNAs corresponding amino acid is attached (by aminoacyl-tRNA synthetases). tRNAs cope with the degeneracy of the genetic code in two manners: having more than one tRNA (with a specific anti-codon) for a particular amino acid; and 'wobble' base-pairing, i.e. permitting non-standard base-pairing at the 3rd anti-codon position. The record is from RNAcentral. RNAcentral also lists the same sequence under 2 other names. Lineage: Bacteria; Pseudomonadati; Acidobacteriota.